AGCGAAGUUCCCACUUUCUACGUUCACACAUUACAGUGGAAGAGGAAGUUAAAAUUGAGAAAUUGAAAGUACAUUGAAAAGAUGGUUGUGUUUGGUCCUAUUUGCGCGUUAUGUUUAGUUUAGAGCUAGUUAUAGUCUAAUUUAUUUUCUUCUUCCCUAAAGUUGAUUAGCCUUAUUUUGCAUUCAUGCAUAUUGUAUUAAAUUAGUCUUUAUUGGUCUCUUGCAAAAUGUACAUACGUGGGUGAAGGUGGGAGGGACGGCACGCAAAAGGAACAUUUAGGGUUUUUGUGGUCUGUAUUUAUGCUUGCUUCCUUGUGCGAGUAAGCCACCUCAGACACAUUUUAUUGGUAUGGACAUUGGUUCAUUUUGAUCUGUCUGAACUGCGAACGAAGCCUCAGGGCCAUUUGAAAAGUUUAGAUCGUUGUUUUGUUGAAGUUUGUUAAGGACAAAAAGCCACUACAGUUGUAAUGGCAGAAGAAAAUAUCUACGCCAACGUCCCCAGAACAGCAAGACAACUCAAAGACUUUGAAGUUGAAGCUCCACAGAGAAGACCAAAGGUGACAGUAAAGAAAGUGGCUCUGGCGGUGGUCAUUGUGCUACUUGUGACUGCUGUUGCCACUUGUGUUGGAGUCAUCGUGCAUUAUAACAGGGCAUCCAAAAUAAACACAGAGACAAUGGCAGAAACUACAAAUGUCUCAGUCGAUUAUAGCACUGGAAUCGAAACAACCUCAAAAGAGAUGACCACAGGUAGGAGAAAGAUUUAAAUUAUUUGUUUGGUCAUUGAACAAUAUUAGUUCAGACCAUUUUUAGGCCCGAGCGCCAUCAGGGCUGGCGAAGGGGCUCUUGUACUCAUAUAGAGUAGCGGAGCGCACAAAACGAGCGCGAAGCCCUCGCCUCCUCUCAAACAUACACUAACGCACUCCUCUCAUCGUGCACGUUCCGUGCACGUGCACAUGUAUCAGAAAACGAAUAUUGUAAUUGGACAGCAGUGUACGAAGCGACCCAGGAC
RNAcentral lists this long non-coding RNA (1009 nucleotides) under Neogobius melanostomus (round goby). Its description in RNAcentral is "lncRNA (ENSNMLG00000000701.1)". Lineage: Eukaryota; Metazoa; Chordata; Actinopteri; Gobiiformes; Gobiidae. The record is from RNAcentral.